Molecule: long non-coding RNA, 1285 nt
Filed under: Olea europaea subsp. europaea
Lineage: Eukaryota; Viridiplantae; Streptophyta; Magnoliopsida; Lamiales; Oleaceae
Source: RNAcentral
CGUCCCUUGAUUUUACAAUCUUGCUACAUAGGCAGGGUUUUUUAACAGGGUUUAUAUCCUGACUGAUGUGGCACAUAAAAAAAAAAAAUCAAACAAAGCAAAUCCCCAAAUCUAGACCCACAGAAACGAAGGAAAACCUCCACACGCAAAUGUCUCGCCCAAAUCUCUCUCCCCCAAAUCAAAACUCACGCCUCACCUUCUUCGGCGGCACUUCUACCGUCGGCGCUCCGGCAUCACUUCCGUUGAAGGUUUGGCUGCCUCCCUUCACUAUUUCCGACCGUGCUUGGAGUGAAGAUUGUUACCGCUUCGAGAGCAGUUUCAUCCAAGUUUCACCGGCUGAAGCUUGACCAUCUCCGGUCGCCAGUGAAAUCAGACAACAAGUAUCUCUCUACCUCACGCCAUUUGGGAGUUGGUUAAGGUUAAGUUACAUUCAAAUUCAAGUCGUGGUCAAUUUACUUGUUCUUUGUCACUGUCAUGUAAAAGGCGUUAGAUUAGCCUUAGAUUUAUCUUGCUAAAAAAUUUUCAACUCUCUCUAUGGUCUUCUGUCCAGAUGUUUUAAUGGCUUUAAGUAAAUAUCGAAUCCUACGAAGUCUACAAAACCACCAAUGUAGCGGAUGAACCUGUUGAAUUACAGAGCUAUGCACUGCAGGGCUGGAGUCACUUGCUAAUUACAUUUCAUUAGGCACCUGCAUGAAUGGAGUUCAUGAUGUAUUUGAAAUUUGUUGUUAUUCAUUUGAAUCUAGCUUAUCAGUAUAAUGAAUAUGUAGGUGGUUUGUUAUGCAGUUGUCAGUUCCAAAAAAUGGAAGAAAGCUAUUGUUAAUUUUUGUUUUUUAUGUGGUUUAUUUCCAUUGUAGAAUUCACGGAAGGAAUUUUGGUAUCUGUCAUAGUUGUAGAGCAAAGGGCACUUCUUUGCUGAUUGUUGUUAAUCUCGAGUUCGCCUCCUCGAUGAAGAAGACCUACAAAUUUCAGUGAACGUGACUAUAUGCAAGGCAAAUGAUAGUGUGGAAGCAAAGGCAAAAGGGGAGGGUCGAUCUGAUUAUUAGAUAAACCUCAGCUCACGGGUUGUGACAUAACUUCUGUAUAUGUAGCAUUAUUAUGUACUUUAAGUUGUAUGUUAAUGAAAUUUGUGAACUAAUGGAACCUAUGUACCGAUCUGAAUUUGCAUGUUUCCCAUAGGUAGCAGUUGUAAUGACAUGUUUACUUUAAAAUUUCUUAGUCGUUCAUGUGAAUCUUUAUACUUGUUUGCAUUUUCGUAAUAUCAGAUUCACAGUGAAGCUUCCUUUCA